Molecule: ribosomal RNA, 248 nt
Filed under: uncultured bacterium
Lineage: Bacteria
Description: partial 16S ribosomal RNA
Rfam family: Bacterial small subunit ribosomal RNA
Source: RNAcentral
UACGUAGGGGGCAAGCGUUGUCCGGAUUCAUUGGCGUAAAGAGCGUGUAGGCGGCCAGAUAGGUCGGUUGUGAAAACUCGGGCUCAACUCCGAGCCUGCGUUCGAUACUGGACGGCUAGAGUCUGGUAGGGGAUCUGGAAUUCCUGGUGUAGCGGUGGAAUGCGCAGAUAUCAGGAGGAACACCGGUGGCGAAGGCGGGAUCCUGGGCCAGUACUGACGCUGAGGAGCGAAAGCGUGGGAGCAACAGG